UAUACAUGCAAGUAGAACGCUGAAGGAGGAGCUUGCUUCUCUGGAUGAGUUGCGAACGGGUGAGUAACGCGUAGGUAACCUGCCUGGUAGCGGGGGAUAACUAUUGGAAACGAUAGCUAAUACCGCAUAAGAGUGGAUGUUGCAUGACAUUUGCUUAAAAGGUGCACUUGCAUCACUACCAGAUGGACCUGCGUUGUAUUAGCUAGUUGGUGGGGUAACGGCUCACCAAGGCGACGAUACAUAGCCGACCUGAGAGGGUGAUCGGCCACACUGGGACUGAGACACGGCCCAGACUCCUACGGGAGGCAGCAGUAGGGAAUCUUCGGCAAUGGACGGAAGUCUGACCGAGCAACGCCGCGUGAGUGAAGAAGGUUUUCGGAUCGUAAAGCUCUGUUGUAAGAGAAGAACGAGUGUGAGAGUGGAAAGUUCACACUGUGACGGUAUCUUACCAGAAAGGGACGGCUAACUACGUGCCAGCAGCCGCGGUAAUACGUAGGUCCCGAGCGUUGUCCGGAUUUAUUGGGCGUAAAGCGAGCGCAGGCGGUUAGAUAAGUCUGAAGUUAAAGGCUGUGGCUUAACAAUAGUAGGCUUUGGAAACUGUUUAACUUGAGUGCAAGAGGGGAGAGUGGAAUUCCAUGUGUAGCGGUGAAAUGCGUAGAUAUAUGGAGGAACACCGGUGGCGAAAGCGGCUCUCUGGCUUGUAACUGACGCUGAGGCUCGAAAGCGUGGGGAGCAAACAGGAUUAGAUACCCCGGUAGUCCA
This 762-nucleotide ribosomal RNA is filed under the name uncultured bacterium. Its description in RNAcentral is "bacterial SSU rRNA". It matches the Rfam family "Bacterial small subunit ribosomal RNA", at positions 50 to 797 of the family's 1533-position model. The record is from RNAcentral.